ACCUUACUGACGAGUGACAAAUAACACGAAACUUAAGUCUAGGAU
Molecule: non-coding RNA, 45 nt
Organism: Schistosoma haematobium
Lineage: Eukaryota; Metazoa; Platyhelminthes; Trematoda; Strigeidida; Schistosomatidae
Source: Rfam